Molecule: ribosomal RNA, 273 nt
Filed under: Nocardia nova
Lineage: Bacteria; Bacillati; Actinomycetota; Actinomycetes; Mycobacteriales; Nocardiaceae
Description: partial 16S ribosomal RNA
Rfam family: Bacterial small subunit ribosomal RNA
Source: RNAcentral
UCAACGGAGAGUUUGAUCCUGGCUCAGGACGAACGCUGGCGGCGUGCUUAACACAUGCAAGUCGAGCGGUAAGGCCCUUCGGGGUACACGAGCGGCGAACGGGUGAGUAACACGUGGGUGAUCUGCCUCGCACUCUGGGAUAAGCCUGGGAAACUGGGUCUAAUACCGGAUAUGACCACGGAUCGCAUGGUUUGUGGUGGAAAGAUUUAUCGGUGCGAGAUGGGCCCGCGGCCUAUCAGCUUGUUGGUGGGGUAAUGGCCUACCAAGGCGACG